GACCAAAACGACGUCGUUUUGGGAAGCGCCUGCAUCUUCACUUCGAUCCUCCGCUUCAGAAUUUUUGGAAUUUUGUUUUGUUUCAGCGCCUAUUUUCCAUGCACAUGCUUCGAUUCCAGCCGGAAGCAUGUUUUCAAAUUAAAUCCACCAUUUCCUUUCCCUCCAAUUCAUCAUGUGCAUUUGUUCAUUAUUCCAAAUAUUUUCAUGUCAACUUUGAAAAAUCAUAUCAAAUUGAAAAUGAUUCCAAAUAAUUCCAAUUUUUU
This 263-nucleotide long non-coding RNA is filed under the name Lathyrus oleraceus (garden pea). Its description in RNAcentral is "Pisum sativum (pea) long non-coding RNA (PSAT_LNC030663)". Lineage: Eukaryota; Viridiplantae; Streptophyta; Magnoliopsida; Fabales; Fabaceae. The record is from RNAcentral.